This 253-nucleotide ribosomal RNA is filed under the name uncultured bacterium. Its description in RNAcentral is "partial 16S ribosomal RNA". It matches the Rfam family "Bacterial small subunit ribosomal RNA", at positions 524 to 776 of the family's 1533-position model. The record is from RNAcentral.
UACGUAGGGGGCUAGCGUUGUCCGGAAUCAUUGGGCGUAAAGAGCGUGUAGGCGGCCCGGUAAGUCCGCUGUAAAAGUCAAAGGCUCAACCUUUGAAUGUCAGUGGAUACUGCCGGGCUAGAGUCCGGAAGAGGCGAGUGGAACUCCUGGUGUAGCGGUGGAAUGCGCAGAUAUCAGGAAGAACACCCGUGGCGAAGGCGGCUCUCUGGGACGGUACUGACGCUGAGACGCGAAAGCGUGGGGAGCAAACAGG